GUGGCCGUAGUUCAGCUGGUAGAGCGCCAGUUUGUGGUACUGGAUGUCGCGGGUUCGAGCCCCGUCGGUCACCCCA
Molecule: transfer RNA, 76 nt
Filed under: Ilumatobacteraceae bacterium
Lineage: Bacteria; Bacillati; Actinomycetota; Acidimicrobiia; Acidimicrobiales; Ilumatobacteraceae
Also listed under: 1 other name
Description: tRNA-His
Rfam family: tRNA
About the family: Transfer RNA (tRNA) molecules are approximately 80 nucleotides in length. Their secondary structure includes four short double-helical elements and three loops (D, anti-codon, and T loops).
Source: RNAcentral